Transfer RNA from Camelus ferus (Wild Bactrian camel), 73 nucleotides. It matches the Rfam family "tRNA". From Rfam's summary of the family: Transfer RNA (tRNA) molecules are approximately 80 nucleotides in length. Their secondary structure includes four short double-helical elements and three loops (D, anti-codon, and T loops). The record is from Rfam. Lineage: Eukaryota; Metazoa; Chordata; Mammalia; Artiodactyla; Camelidae.
GAGGGUAUAGCUCAAGUGGUAGAGCACAUGCUUAGCAUGCAUGAGGUCCUGGGUUCAAUCCCCAGUACCUCCA